RNAcentral lists this ribosomal RNA (427 nucleotides) under uncultured Candidatus Korobacter sp. Its description in RNAcentral is "bacterial SSU rRNA". It matches the Rfam family "Bacterial small subunit ribosomal RNA", at positions 104 to 547 of the family's 1533-position model. The record is from RNAcentral. Lineage: Bacteria; Pseudomonadati; Acidobacteriota; Terriglobia; Terriglobales; Candidatus Korobacteraceae.
GGGUGAGUAACACGUGACUAACCUACCCUCUUGUGGGGAAUAACCUUCCGAGAGGAGGGCUAAUACCGCAUAACAUCGCGAGGUGAGACUCCUUGUGAUCAAAGGAGCAAUUCGCAGGAGGAGGGGGUCGCGGCUGAUUAGCUAGUUGGUGAGGUAAUGGCUCACCAAGGCAGUGACCAGUAUCCGGCCUGCGGGGGCGCACGGACACACUGGAACUGAAACACGGUCCAGACUCCUACGGGAGGCAGCAAGUGGGGAAUUACGCGCAACGGGGGAAACCCUGACGCAGCAACGCCGCGUGGAGGAUGAAGGUCUCUGGAUUGUAAACUCCUUUCGAUCGGGACGAUGAUGACGGUACCGGAAGAAGACGCAACGGCUAACUCUGUGCCAGGAGCCGAGGUAAUACAGAGGGUGCAAGCGUCGUUCG